Molecule: long non-coding RNA, 867 nt
Filed under: Homo sapiens (human)
Lineage: Eukaryota; Metazoa; Chordata; Mammalia; Primates; Hominidae
Description: HSALNT0339500
Source: RNAcentral
CUUUAGUUGAACCCAGGUACCUUUCUCUUUGGCUUCUUUCUUUUUCUGAUCAUUUUCCUUCACACGUUUCAGGAAGCUAUCUCGGCUCUUAGAGUGCUUAAUGUGCUCAAUACGCACAUUAAUUCUCUUGGCAAGAAUCUUGCCCUUAACUUGUUUGUUUACAACAAUGCCAACAGCAUGCUGGGUAACAUUGUAGACUCUUCCAGUUUUGCCAUGGUAACACUUGUGGGGCAUUCCUUUUUGAACAGUACCCAUUCCCUUGAUGUCUACAAUAUCACCUUUCUUAUAGAUUCGCAUAUAUGUGGCCAAAGGAACAACUCCAUGUUUUCUAAAAGGCCUAGAGAACAUAUAUCGGGUGCCUCUCCUCUUUCCCUUUGUGUUCGUCAUUUUGGCGAAUUACUGGAAGAUGGCGGUUCCGGCCGAAAGGGCAAGAUGCAUAUUGGAUAUCUAAAUAGAGAUAUCAAGAAAUGAAGAUAUGCAUUUCCAGUUCCAGAGAGAAAUUCACACUGGAAAUAUAAAUUUAGGAAUUUUAAAGUUAGUGGUCACAUUUAAAGCUGCAGAAUACAAAGAGAUCACCUGUGUGAGAGAACUGAGUCCUGAAACAUACCCGUGUUUAAAGAUCUGGGAGGUGCAGAGGAAUUAUCAAAGGAGGCUGAGAAGGAGCAGCCAGUGAGAUAAGCAAAAAGAAAAGCAAGAGAUAUGGAACUGAACUUCCCUUUGGCAAAAAAUUUAGAAAAUGAUAAUGAGGGCCCCAUGGACCAAGACUUGCUGAAGAAACAAAGAAAAGAUAGAAUACCUGGCAUAGAGGGGGCCAUCAGAAUUCUGCUUCAAUGCUGUGGCUAUUUUUAUUCUUAUUGGUCAGCAACC